RNAcentral lists this ribosomal RNA (645 nucleotides) under uncultured bacterium. Its description in RNAcentral is "bacterial SSU rRNA". It matches the Rfam family "Bacterial small subunit ribosomal RNA", at positions 167 to 810 of the family's 1533-position model. The record is from RNAcentral.
ACCCGCGUACAUGCCACCGGGGCAUCCCGGAGGCAGGAAAGGCUUCGGCCGGACAGGGAUGGGCAUGCGGCGCAUUAGGCAGUAGGCGGGGUAACGGCCCACCUAACCGACGAUGCGUAGGGGUUCUGAGAGGAAGGUCCCCCUCACUGGUACUGAGACACGGACCAGACUCCUACGGGAGGCAGCAGUGAGGAAUAUUGGUCAAUGGUCGGGAGACUGAACCAGCCAAGCCGCGUGAGGGAGGAAGGUACAGAGUAUCGUAAACCUCUUUUGUCAGGGAACAAAGACUGGGACGCGUCCCCGGAUGAGUGUACCUGAAGAAAAAGCAUCGGCUAACUCCGUGCCAGCAGCCGCGGUAAUACGGAGGAUGCGAGCGUUAUCCGGAUUUAUUGGGUUUAAAGGGUGCGCAGGCGGUCUGUUAAGUCAGCGGUCAAAGCCCGGGGCUCAACCCCGGCCCGCCGUUGAAACUGGCAGUCUCGAGUUGGAGAGAAGUAUGCGGAAUGCGCGGUGUAGCGGUGAAAUGCAUAGAUAUCGCGCAGAACUCCGAUUGCGAAGGCAGCAUGCCGGCUCCACACUGACGCUGAGGCACGAAAGCGUGGGUAUCGAACAGGAUUAGAUACCCUGGUAGUCCACGCAGUAAACGAU